RNAcentral lists this ribosomal RNA (549 nucleotides) under Orthomegas jaspideus. RNAcentral describes it as "partial 16S ribosomal RNA". Lineage: Eukaryota; Metazoa; Arthropoda; Insecta; Coleoptera; Cerambycidae. The record is from RNAcentral.
UUAAUAUGAAUUAUAUAUUUAAUUUUCCCGAACUUAAAAGAGCUAACUUAAUAUAAAUUUUAUUGUGGAAUAAAUAUUUAUAAUAUUUAGUUGGUAAUGAAAUGUUAUUCGUUUUUAAAUAUAUCUGGUUUUUUUAGAAAUAAAUUUAAUUUAGCUUAAUUUAUAUAAUCAAUUUAAUUUUUAAUUGAUUUUGUUAUUAAGGUAAUAUAUUAGGGGAUAAGCUUUAAUAUAAAGUUUUAUAAAUGAAUUGGGGGUAUUGAAUUAGAUAGGAUUAGAAGUUUCCAUUUUUAGGAGGGUGUUAUAACUUAUUUUGUGGUAAGUUUUAUUUUUAUUUGUUUUAAGUUUUUUAUAAAAAUGUAAUUUUAAGUUUUAAUUGAUUAGAAAUAAUGGUAGAAUUAGUAUAUAAUUGUUUAGUUUUAAUGGGGGUGUUUUAGGUUAACAAAAGGAAUUCGGCAAAUAAUUUUUUACCUGUUUAUUAAAAACAUGGCCUUUUGAGUAUAAUUUAAGGUCUAGCCUGCCCACUGAGGUUUUAAAUGGCCGCGGUAACCU